GAUCAUGGCUCAGGAUGAACGCCGGCGGCGUGCCUAAUACAUGCAAGUCGAGCGGGGCCCGCAAGGGUCCAGCGGCAAACGGGUGAGUAACACGUUGGUAACCUGCCCCUCGGAUCGGAAUACCGGUGAGAAAUCUCCGCUAAUGCCGGAUAUGUGCGCCUGGCUCGGGCUGGGCGGACGAAAGGGGGCCGAAAGGCCUCGCCGGGGGAUGGGCCUGCGGCGCAUCAGCCAGUUGGCGGGACAAAGGCCC
RNAcentral lists this ribosomal RNA (250 nucleotides) under uncultured bacterium. RNAcentral's name for it is "partial 16S ribosomal RNA". It matches the Rfam family "Bacterial small subunit ribosomal RNA", at positions 15 to 266 of the family's 1533-position model. The record is from RNAcentral.